Falco peregrinus (peregrine falcon) is the source of this 3373-nucleotide RNA transcript. RefSeq lists it as uncharacterized. The record is from RefSeq and is a predicted model, not a curated record. The transcript is spliced from 18 exons. Lineage: Eukaryota; Metazoa; Chordata; Aves; Falconiformes; Falconidae.
GUUUAGUUUCUUCCGGUGGCUUUGUGUUUCCUGAGGGGAACUCGUAGAGAAGAAUCGUUUCUUUCCACGCUGUACCUUUGCUCUCAAGUUAAAAAUAGGAUCGCUAGCCUGGAGAUGUAAAGGUUGAACGUAGCUGGAGAGUUUCCUUGUCAUCUAAAGAUCAAACAUGGACCCUGAAGCUGAAAUAAAGAAGCAAGUAAACCCUUUUUACUGCAAUAUUUGCAAAAUCUGGUGUGCUUCAGCAUUAAACUUGCAGACUCAUUUCCUUGGAUUCAAACACAAGACGGUUGAAGAAGCAUUGAAAGCUCAUGGCAUUGUUAAAACAGCAAGUGGCUCAGGGGAGCAAGUGAAAACACCUGUAAAACUUCCUGAUUAUGUGCAAACUGAGCCAGAGAGGUUUCAUGGACAGACCUUGGAAGAACAGCUUAAUAUGUGUAAAGAUUCAGAACCUGCACUUGGACUUAACUAUAUAAUUGAAUACAGAUCAAAAGACAAUUUCCCUUUUCUCUAUGAAUGUCAACUGUGCCACUGUAAAACAGGAUUGAGUAAUAUGUUCAUGCAUGUUUGUGGUUCCAAGCAUAGACUGGCAUAUCUGAAACAACAUUAUCCUGAGAUAGCAGAAUCUGAUGAAGUUAAGGGUAAAGGCUCUGAACUGAACAGAAAAGUUAGGCAAGUUGCAUUAACAAUUGAGAAGAAAGAAGGAAGAAAACAAAUAAAGGUUGUUACAGAUGCUCCAGUAAUGAGGAGGAGAUGGCAAGAAUAUCCUAAUGCAGAUGACAGCCCUUCAAAAGCUAAAGUUCAGCAUAUGGAUACAUCACUUAAUAAUGAAGAAGACUGUAAAAAUAAGGAUGGAAAAAUGCCAGACCUUAUUCAAGAUGAAAAGAAGGUUCAAGAGGAGCAGGAGAAAAUUCAGAAAGAGCAGACAAAGCCAGAUGAGAAGAUUGAACCUAAUGAGGCUAUUGAAAGCAGCAAAGGCAACAAGACUGAAGAAGGCAGCAAAGGCAACAACUCAGAAAAGUGUGAGACCAAUAAACAAUCGCAGGAAGAAAAGAAGGAAGUUGAGCAAGAAUUUACAGCAAAUUCUGAAGAAUUUACUAGUCAAGAACAACUGUUGAGUUAUUUGCAAAAUUUUGAGAUACUGAAUGAAGAUGAUGCCUCAUUUAUCCUGAAAGUUACACAGACUCUUACAGAUGCACUGGUGGAAUAUCGUCAGCAGGCUAUAUCAAACAAAGACCUCUUAGAUACUGAAUAUAAUGGAGAAGCAGCAUUGGAAUAUUCCACAGAACAGUCUGACUUGACUUCGGCAGAUAUUAGUGACUCUGAUACUGAUUAUUCAAGCAGCCGAUCAGCUAAGCACUCCUUAUCAAUAAAUGAAGACGAUGAGCCCCAAAACUUUUCAACUGGCUCUUUGGAAACAGCAUAUGAGAACAACAUCACUACUGAAUUUUUGAACAGUGUAAGAAAUAUGAAUGUUGAGGAAGUUACUGCUACUCUACACAAAAUAGCAGCAGCAAAUCCAGCUUUCAGAGGUUUUGUUGUGUGUUGAACACAGGUGUUUGUUCACUGCCCCCCACCCCCCCUGCAGCUGGACAGGGAAGAGAAUAGGAAGAACAAAAGUGAGAAAACUUGUGGGUCGUGAUAACAACAGUUUAGAAUUGAUAUUCCAAAUGUUAUAAGGAUCCUGACUGAAAGUGGAACUCUGAGAAGACCAAGCAAUGGCAGCACACAGUGACGUGGUAGUUGAUAGUUAAUAUAGCAAUGUUCACUUCCUGUCACUUUGUUGUUUUACUCAGUAUGAAGUCAAUGUAGCUGAUUUUGCUAUGUUCAAAUUUUGUACAAUAUUAUUUUAAAUUAAUAACUUGGCUUUGAGGUUGUUAUUUAUUUCUUAGUAUAGCUUAAAUUUCUAUAUUGUGGAAAGGUUGUAAAGCUCAUGUUCUCUCUUUCCAUGUUAAAAUAUACUUUUAAAACAGAUAACAGUUUUUCUCAGUAUCAUUAAAUACGAUACGUUGACAGUCUAAUCUUUUCUUAUUGUUGGUUCUUUUCCAAAGAGUUAUCAGCAGAAUGAACUACUGCAAUCAGCAGUACAAAUUCAUCCUACAAUAAAUACUCAGAAGUUCUUCCCUGGGCUGCUGGGCCUGACUCAAAAGAUUUUGUAAUCAAAAAUCCUCUCCCAUAUAAGGAUAAUGACCCAUAUAUAUAUAUAUAUAUAUAUAUAUAAAUUUUUUUUUGAGUAAAGGUUAAAAAUAAUAAUCAAAAGUCAGUGCUGUCAGUCUAGUUCUGAGCUGAGGAGUACCUGGAUUAUAGCCAGCUACGGGAGCUUCCGUAAUUGGAAGCCUUAGCAAAGUCAACAGAAGUUGGCUGUGCCUGCAAAUUCAGGGAUAUGUUCCAAGAGAACUAACAGAACUGCAGAUAAGAGGCACUGAUGUGGUAGUGAAAGUAUCUGUUGUCUUCUCUUAUCCCACCAGUAUGAGAAUUAAAUGAAAGCUGACUUAUACUGUCCUUCAAUUCAGGCUCUUCUAACGUGAACUUUUUUUCCAUCUAUAGUAGUAGUGUUUUUGACUGAAUGUAAAGGUCUUGACAUUAAUGACUACUACUUUUGUAGGAUAAUGAAGAAUGUUUUGGAUGGUUACAAAUUAAGUGUGCAUGGGGAAAAGUAAUUUUUUUUUAACUUGUAUAAUUAAAAUUUGCUUUCUGCUUGUGACAUUGGGUAGCAUUCGGUGGUUCUAAUUAAAGCUCUUCAGCUUUGCAGUCAAAUGCUGGUAUAAUAUAGACAUACUGGGGCCAGAUGGUAAAUGAACCUUUUAAUGUUAACUUUUUUUUUGAGAUCUGGAUGGAAUUGAGAAUCCUCAUCCUGAUGGUUUCACAUCUUCUUAUCAUGGAAUGCAAGAUAUCAUAAAAAUAAGAUAUCAAAGAAGGCAGCAAGAAAAUUGGUUGGUUUUGUUCCAUGAACAGACACAGGAAUGAAAACAGUUCACUGACAAUUAAAAAAAUGAAACCACAAAAAGCUGCUUUAAAGAAAUUGUGAAGAAUUUCUACAAUGCCUCUAAAUAUGUUCUUGUUGGAAGCAGAGAUGGAACCAGACCUCUUACAGCUCAUUUACACUAUAAUAAGGACAAUGUUAAUGCCUGCUUAAUGAAGAUGAUCAGUAAAAACAUCUUUUAGUUGAUACAAAACUUUUGAAUUCUUUUCCUGUAAUACAGAAAAUAAAAAUAGAAACGUCUUUUGUUUAUUUUCCAAGUACAGAACAUUCUGUGAAUUAAAAUAAUAAAAUAAGAAUGUUCAGCUGUUGUGAAAGGCCAUCUCUGGGGCAGCUUCUUUCUCCUUUUACUAUGGAAUCAUUCCUAGUGGAAAUAAAGUUAAAAUUAAGUUGAAA